AUGUAUUAAUUCUAUGAUUAAUAUUUUCACAGCUCAACACUAUCAUUUCUCUUUUGUGAUUUUUCUUGUCUUUUUUCUUCACUGUGGUAUAGGUGAAAAGUUUUCAUUGGUUAUCAAUUGUUAAUCUUAACUUGAGAAUAUGUUUGGUCCUCUUUAAUGGGUCUUCCCUUCCAACCACAAGAUUUGAACACUACCUUGUUCAAGAAAAGAGAAUGCACACAAACUAGUGAUUGUUAUAAUUACAUGAUUCGAAAUGAAAACAUUAAAAAAUGUCCCAAAAACCAUAGGCAAUUGCUCUAAAACUCCUGUAACUUGGAUCAAAACUAAAUAAAAAUGUUUGUAAAAAUGCUUACGUAAGAUGACAUGUCAUCAAUAAUCUAUCUAUUCUUUAUUAUGAAAGGCUAGAUAAUAAAUAAAAUAACUAAUGAAAGGUUUCUAAACAAGAAUGAACUUUAAUUAUAGCCAAAGCGACAAAUAUGAUUCAUCAAUGUACUUUAGAGAUAUUUAAUAAUUAUUCUAAUUAAAAAAAGGAUUUCUUACAACGACAUAAUUAUAAAAAUAAAAAUAAAAACAUGUUAUAGUGUAAACAUACAAAGAGGUUUGUUACUAUAUAAUAUGAUCAAACCAUUUUAUAUUUGUUACAUAUGAAAAGGUAAAAAAAAAUGGAUGAAACUCUUAAGUUUGUAUAUAUUUAGAUCCUUUUUGUUUCCCUAUGUCUUGUUGUAGCCGAUGGCGUAAAGAAUAUUAACAGAGAAUGCACACAAACUAGUGAUUGUUAUAAAAAAUAUCCGUUUAUUCCUUGGGGAAAAGUGAGGUGCGUUAAAGGUCGUUGCAGAUUGGAUAUGUAGUUAAGGUGAUCCUGAGUAGUAGGUGGUGGCUCAAAGUGUCUAGGGCUCUGAUACGUGGGAUGGGAUUUUAAUGUUACUUUCAUUCCUAUGUAUUAAAUUUUGGAACUUGAUGUGUAGCCCUAUUUGAUUGUUGAAUUAUGUUGUUGAGGCUUUUAUGCCAAAACUUUAUUGGAGAAUUAACAUGUUGGAUGUGGUGAUUAUUUAAUGUUAAGAAAAUAUUUCCGCUGCAUAAUUAA
This is a long non-coding RNA of Medicago truncatula (barrel medic), 1084 nucleotides long. RefSeq lists it as uncharacterized. Lineage: Eukaryota; Viridiplantae; Streptophyta; Magnoliopsida; Fabales; Fabaceae. The record is from RefSeq and is a predicted model, not a curated record. The transcript is spliced from 4 exons.